UCUCAGUUCGGAUUGCAGGCUGCAACUCGCCUGUAUGAAGUCGGAAUUGCUAGUAAUCGUGGAUCAGCAUGCCACGGUGAAUACGUUCCCGGGCCUUGUACACACCGCCCGUCACACCAUGGGAGUUUGUAACGCCCAAAGUCGGUGGCCUAACCUUUAUGGAGGGAGCCGCCUAAGGCGGGACAGAUGACUGGGGUGAAGUCGUAACAAGGUAAC
This 216-nucleotide ribosomal RNA is filed under the name uncultured bacterium. RNAcentral's name for it is "partial 16S ribosomal RNA". It matches the Rfam family "Bacterial small subunit ribosomal RNA", at positions 1286 to 1500 of the family's 1533-position model. The record is from RNAcentral.